This 1151-nucleotide long non-coding RNA is filed under the name Piliocolobus tephrosceles (Ugandan red Colobus). Its description in RNAcentral is "lncRNA (ENSPTEG00000014891.1)". The record is from RNAcentral. Lineage: Eukaryota; Metazoa; Chordata; Mammalia; Primates; Cercopithecidae.
AUGGAACAGUCGAAAAAAAACAAUUCACAGAAAAGCGACGAUUUAGAAAUUGACUAUAAACUUAAAUUACCCACCCGCAAUAUAAAUAAUUUAAACAUAAAUGACUUUGGUAGUGACACCAGUGACAACUCAGGUAACGAUAAUAAUAAUAAUAAUAAUAAUAAUAAUAAUAAUAAUAAUAAUAAUNNNNNNNNNNAUAAUAAUAAUAAUAAUAAUAAUAAUAAUAAUAAUAAUAAUAAUAAUGAAAAUAAUAAUGAAAAUAAUAAUGAAAAUAAUAAUAAUAAUAAUAAUAAUAAUAAUGAAAAUAAUAAUGAAAAUAAUAAUGAAAAUAAUAAUGAAAAUAUUGGUGAUCAUAAAAAAAAGAAAAAAAUUCUUUCUAAAAAUAUGAACGGGUCAUACCAUGAUAUAAAAAUAGUUUCAAAUAUUGAUAAAUCAGAGUAUUAUAAUGAUAAUAUUUCUAUACCUGAACAACAAAUAUUUAAAGAAAAUGGGAACUUAAAAUUUAAACAAAAAAUAAAUAAAAAUAAAAUGAAUGAAAAAAAAAAACAUAACCAAAGUAUAAAUGAUUAUGCUGAACCAUAUAAUAAUACAUUAAUUGAAAAAUUUAAACAACAACGAUUAAAAGCAAGACAAAAAUAUUGGACACCUUUAUGUUUAAUUAUAACUUAUUUAACUAUAUCGAUUACAUUUAUAAUCGUAGGAGUUAUGUUUAUUAUUUUAUCUACAACCAGAAAAGAAUGUAAAAUUCAAUACAAUGAACGCACAGAAAAAAAUAUUACAUUAACAAUUGAUGAAAAUUCAUGUAAGGGUCCUAAGAGACCAUUCAAAAGUAAUUCCUAUAUUUUUUACGAGUUACAUAAUUUUUAUCAAAACCAUAAAAAAUAUCUUAUGUCGAAAUCGCAUAAUCAAUUAAUGGGUAAAGUAUAUACUAAUCCAAGUAGUGUGUCCUUAUGUUACCCCUUAAUAAAUGACAAAGAUGGAAAAUUAUUACAUCCUUGUGGUUUAGUACCUAGAACUAUAUUUAACGAUACAUUUACUAUAUAUAGUGAUUCUGGUUAACAAAGAAAAUAGAAAUUGACGAAUCGAAAGAAGCAAUAACAUGGUUUAGCGAUUAUAAUAAAUUUAAAAAUCCUUCUAACGAAGAAAUAAAA